UCAAUUUGGCCAUCUUGACCGGCCUAUGC
RNAcentral lists this small RNA (29 nucleotides) under Bombyx mori (domestic silkworm). RNAcentral describes it as "ovarian small RNA-24941". The record is from RNAcentral. Lineage: Eukaryota; Metazoa; Arthropoda; Insecta; Lepidoptera; Bombycidae.